AUGGCAGGGACUUUGCUGUCAGUAGCUCAAGAGGCAAAAUGAACUACAGACUGGGACAAAAGGUGUGAAGUCUCUCGUUUACAUAGAUUGGAUUCAUCACAAAUUUACCAGGUCAAGAAUUCCAUAUAAAGCGUUUCAGCCUUCACUUGCAGAUCAUGAAAAAUAUGACGGAGAUCCACAGAAUCCUCAGAAACUGCAUAUUGUUACCAGAAUAAAAAAGUACAAAAAGGUGUCCAUAUUGGGAAAAAGACAUAAUAAAGAUGCUCAGAUUAGAAAACACACAUAUCCAUCAAGUUCACAAGCAUAUUGCUUCAGUGAAUGCAAAACUGAAAGUGGUUUAACAGUCAGUAAGAAUCAAGCCCCUGAAGUUGCCACAAGGAUUUCCAACUGAGGAGGACAUGUCUAAGCUCUGCCUCAAGAGCACUGGGGAAUUAGUGCAGUGGCAUCUGAAAUCUGUGGAGCAGAAAGCAAUUAACUCCUAA
This 482-nucleotide long non-coding RNA is filed under the name Homo sapiens (human). Its description in RNAcentral is "non-protein coding lnc-ETFBKMT-1:1". Lineage: Eukaryota; Metazoa; Chordata; Mammalia; Primates; Hominidae. The record is from RNAcentral.